This 116-nucleotide non-coding RNA is filed under the name uncultured Desulfovibrio sp. RNAcentral describes it as "TPP". It matches the Rfam family "TPP riboswitch aptamer (THI element)". Rfam says of the family: Vitamin B(1) in its active form thiamin pyrophosphate (TPP) is an essential coenzyme that is synthesised by coupling of pyrimidine and thiazole moieties in bacteria. Lineage: Bacteria; Pseudomonadati; Thermodesulfobacteriota; Desulfovibrionia; Desulfovibrionales; Desulfovibrionaceae. The record is from RNAcentral.
AACCAGUGCUAGGGGAGCCGCGGAUCGUAAGGUUUGGCGGCUGAGAGUGGGAUAAACCCAGACCCUAUGAACCUGACGCAGUUCGCACUGCCGUAGGGAAGCCGCGGCCACGACGC